RNAcentral lists this long non-coding RNA (681 nucleotides) under Vigna radiata. Its description in RNAcentral is "long non-coding RNA (VRAD_LNC011476)". Lineage: Eukaryota; Viridiplantae; Streptophyta; Magnoliopsida; Fabales; Fabaceae. The record is from RNAcentral.
GGAGAAAGAAGGUAAUAUUUGAGGAAAGGGAUUGAGUUUGACUCCAUUUGUGCAAAAUGAAAACAAUAAAGCACAAUUUUAUACUGGUUCACUCAAGAACUCUUAAGGGGUUUCUUUAAUCUUAUCAAAUAUUAUAACGAGUUUAACUCAUUCCUAGUUACAAGUAUUAUUACCACUCAUGGUCCCCUAGUCAAUCUUGACUAGUCCGAGUAUUAUAAAUCACUCCCGGUUCCCCUAGUCAACACAACUAGUCUGAGUAUUCUUACACCAGUCCUGGUUCACCUAGUUAACAUGACUAGUCAAAGUAUUCUUACACCACUCCUAGUUCACAUUGUCAACACGACUAGUUUGAGUUUACCCACUCCUAGUUCUUAAGUAUUAUUACCACUCUUGGUUCCUAAGUAUUGUCAACCCCUCCUAGUUCUUUAGUCCAUCCUGACUAGUACACAAAUUUAGUACAAAUGUUUCAUGCAAACAUAAUUAGUCUUUGAUCACAAUUAUAGAUUGUAUAAGUUCUCAGGAAGAUUAAACAAUAUAAAACAAUUUAUGAACUCGUUAGAUUUCUUCUCUUAUGUUGAAGAGUAUCGGAUGGUAUAAGCUCGUGAAGUUCUUCCUCUCUUUUCUUCUCUUCUUUUCUUUUUUUCUCCUUUCUUCUUCUUCUCUUUUCUUCUUUCUCUUUUC